GUGCCAGCAGCCGCGGUAAGACAGAGGGUGCAAACGUUGUUCGGAAUUACUGGGCGUAAAGCGUGUGUAGGCGGUCUCGAAAGUCGGAUGUGAAAGCCCUGGGCUCAACCCAGGAAGUGCACCCGAAACUGUGAGGCUAGAGUAUCGGAGAGGUUGGUGGAAUUCUCGGUGUAGAGGUGAAAUUCGUAGAUAUCGAGAGGAACACCGGUGGCGAAGGCGGCCAACUGGACGAAUACUGACGCUGAGACACGAAAGCGUGGGGAGCAAACAGGAUUAGAAACCCCAGUAGUCC
This 292-nucleotide ribosomal RNA is filed under the name uncultured bacterium. RNAcentral describes it as "partial 16S ribosomal RNA". It matches the Rfam family "Bacterial small subunit ribosomal RNA", at positions 505 to 796 of the family's 1533-position model. The record is from RNAcentral.